RNAcentral lists this ribosomal RNA (245 nucleotides) under uncultured Zavarzinella sp. Its description in RNAcentral is "partial 16S ribosomal RNA". It matches the Rfam family "Bacterial small subunit ribosomal RNA", at positions 524 to 767 of the family's 1533-position model. The record is from RNAcentral. Lineage: Bacteria; Pseudomonadati; Planctomycetota; Planctomycetia; Gemmatales; Gemmataceae.
UACAGAGGCCUCGAGCGUUAGGCGGAAUCACUGGGCUUAAAGCGUGUGUAGGCGGACUUCUAAGUACCUUGUGAACUCCCACAGCUUAACUGUGGAACUGCUUGGUAUACUGGUUGUCUUGAGGUACCUAGGGGCGAGCGGAACAAGUGGUGGAGCGGUGAAAUGCGUAGAUAUCACUUGGAACGCCAACGGUGAAAACAGCUCGCUGGGGGUAUCCUGACGCUGAGACGACGAAAGCCAGGGGA